RNAcentral lists this microRNA (24 nucleotides) under Ananas comosus (pineapple). RNAcentral's name for it is "microRNA s1197_c020b". Lineage: Eukaryota; Viridiplantae; Streptophyta; Magnoliopsida; Poales; Bromeliaceae. The record is from RNAcentral.
AAAUACACUGCUGCAAAUGCAUCG